Molecule: ribosomal RNA, 1727 nt
Filed under: human gut metagenome
Description: bacterial LSU rRNA
Rfam family: Bacterial large subunit ribosomal RNA
Source: RNAcentral
ACGGGGCUAAGAUAGACACCGAAGUUGUAGAUUGCACUUUGUGCAGUGGUAGAAGAGCGUUCGUAUCAGCGUUGAAGGUAUACCGGUAAGGAGUGCUGGAGCGAUGCGAAGUGAGCAUGCAGGAAUGAGUAGCGAUAAAAGUGGUGAGAAUCCACUUCGCCGAAAGUCUAAGGUUUCCUACGCGAUGCUCGUCAUCGUAGGGUUAGUCGGGUCCUAAGACAAGUCAGAAAUGGGUAGUCGAUGGAAAAUAGGUUAAUAUUCCUAUACCAAUAUAAGUGUGCGAUGGAAGGACGCAUAGGGUUAGGUGAGCCAACGGAUGGAAGUGUUGGUCGAAGAGCGUAGAUUGGGGGAUAGGCAAAUCCGCCCCUGUAUUCGAAACUUGACAGGCUCUUUGAAGUCUUCGGAUGGAAGAGAGAAUCACUGAUACCGUCGUGCCAAGAAAAGUUUCUAAGUUUAGCUUAUAUUGCCCGUACCGCAAACCGACACAGGUAGAUGAGAUGAGUAUUCUAAGGCGCGUGAAAGAACUCUGGUUAAGGAACUCUGCAAACUAGCACCGUAAGUUCGCGAUAAGGUGUGCCUAAGCAAUUAGGUCUCAGCAAAGAGUCCCUCCCGACUGUUUACCAAAAACACAGCACUUUGCAAACUCGUAAGAGGAAGUAUAAGGUGUGACGCCUGCCCGGUGCUCGAAGGUUAAGAGGAUUCGUUAGCAGCAAUGCGAAGCGUUGAAUUGAAGCCCGAGUAAACGGCGGCCGUAACUAUAACGGUCCUAAGGUAGCGAAAUUCCUUGUCGGUUAAAUACCGACCUGCAUGAAUGGCGUAACGAGAUGGGAGCUGUCUCAACCAGGGAUUCAGUGAAAUUGUAGUGGAGGUGAAAAUUCCUCCUACCCGCGGCAAGACGGAAAGACCCCGUGGACCUUUACUACAGCUUGGCACUGCCGAUGGGAGCAUUAUGCGCAGGAUAGGUGGGAGGCUUUGAAGUCUUCACUCUGGUGGAGAUGGAGCCAUCCUUGAGAUACCACCCUUAAUGUUUCUGUCUGCUAACUGGCUAGAGUUAUCCUCUAGCAGGACAAUGCCUGGUGGGUAGUUUGACUGGGGCGGUCGCCUCCUAAAAAGUAACGGAGGCUUGCAAAGGUUGGCUCAUUGCGGUUGGAAAUCGCAAGUAGAGUGUAAUGGCAUAAGCCAGCCUGACUGUAAGACAAACAAGUCGAGCAGAGACGAAAGUCGGUCAUAGUGAUCCGGUGAUUCUGUGUGGAAGGGUCAUCGCUCAAAGGAUAAAAGGUACCCCGGGGAUAACAGGCUGAUCUCCCCCAAGAGCUCACAUCGACGGGGAGGUUUGGCACCUCGAUGUCGGCUCAUCGCAUCCUGGGGCUGUAUUCGGUCCCAAGGGUUUGGCUGUUCGCCAAUUAAAGCGGUACGCGAGCUGGGUUCAGAACGUCGUGAGACAGUUCGGUCCCUAUCUGCCGUGGGCGUAGGAAAGUUGAGGAGAGCUGUCCCUAGUACGAGAGGACCGGGAUGGACACGCCACUGGUGUAGCAGUUGUUCUGCCAAGAGCAUCGCUGCGUAGCUACGCGUGGAUGUGAUAACCGCUGAAAGCAUCUAAGCGGGAAGCCAACUCCAAGAUUAACUUUCCCUGAAGGUCGCAGCAAGACUAGCUGCUUGAUAGGGUAGAUGUGUAAGCAUAGUAAUAUGUUUAGCUGACUACUACUAAUAGACCGUUUGGCUUAUGU